AGAUUAAGUUAUUAAGGGCGCACGGUGGAUGCCUUGGCACUAGAAGCCGAUGAAGGACGUUACUAACGACGAUAUGCUUUGGGUAGCUGUAAGUAAGCGUUGAUCCAGAGAUUUCCGAAUGGGGGAACCCAGCAUGAGUUAUGUCAUGUUAUCGACAUGUGAAUUCAUAGCAUGUCAGAAGGCAGACCCGGAGAACUGAAACAUCUUAGUACCCGGAGGAAGAGAAAGAAAAAUCGAUUCCCUGAGUAGCGGCGAGCGAAACGGGAAGAGCCCAAACCAACAAGCUUGCUUGUUGGGGUUGUAGGACACUCUAUACGGAGUUACAAAAGAACAUGUUAGACGAAUCAUCUGGAAAGAUGAAUCAAAGAAGGUAAUAAUCCUGUAGUCGAAAACAUAUUCUCUCUUGAGUGGAUCCUGAGUACGACGGAGCACGUGAAAUUCCGUCGGAAUCUGGGAGGACCAUCUCCUAAGGCUAAAUACUCUCUAGUGACCGAUAGUGAACCAGUACCGUGAGGGAAAGGUGAAAAGUACCCCGGAAGGGGAGUGAAAGAGAACUUGAAACCGUGUGCUUACAAGUAGUCAGAGCCCGUUAAUGGGUGAUGGCGUGCCUUUUGUAGAAUGAACCGGCGAGUUACGAUCUGAUGCAAGGUUAAGCAGCAAAUGUGGAGCCGCAGCGAAAGCGAGUCUGAAUAGGGCGUUGAGUAUUUGGUCGUAGACCCGAAACCAGGUGAUCUACCCUUGGUCAGGUUGAAGUUCAGGUAACACUGAAUGGAGGACCGAACCGACUUACGUUGAAAAGUGAGCGGAUGAACUGAGGGUAGCGGAGAAAUUCCAAUCGAACUUGGAGAUAGCUGGUUCUCUCCGAAAUAGCUUUAGGGCUAGCCUCAAGUGAUGAUUAUUGGAGGUAGAGCACUGUUUGGACGAGGGGCCCCUCUCGGGUUACCGAAUUCAGACAAACUCCGAAUGCCAAUUAAUUUAACUUGGGAGUCAGAACAUGGGUGAUAAGGUCCGUGUUCGAAAGGGAAACAGCCCAGAC
This 1036-nucleotide ribosomal RNA is filed under the name Staphylococcus epidermidis. RNAcentral's name for it is "partial 23S ribosomal RNA". It matches the Rfam family "Bacterial large subunit ribosomal RNA", at positions 1 to 1032 of the family's 2925-position model. The record is from RNAcentral. Lineage: Bacteria; Bacillati; Bacillota; Bacilli; Caryophanales; Staphylococcaceae.